RNA transcript from Cynara cardunculus var. scolymus (artichoke), 1076 nucleotides. RefSeq lists it as uncharacterized. The transcript has 5 exons. The record is from RefSeq and is a predicted model, not a curated record. NCBI's taxonomy places the organism in Eukaryota, Viridiplantae, Streptophyta, Magnoliopsida, Asterales, Asteraceae.
CUGUUUCAAUAGCAAACAUGGCGGCAAAUUCACAGUCAUAACUCAUAAACUCUAUUCUUUCCUCCAAGACUUCGACCUAGUGUUCUUGAAAUUCAAAUUUGCAGCCCUGUUUCUUUGCUGCUGUUGAUUUUUGAAUUAGGGUUUGUUUAUCGGUUAAAUAGAUCUAAUUGUAUUGAACCCGCCGCAAAAUGACAGCAGACGCAUUAUCUUCGGUUUGUUAUUUGGGAGUUUUAGACUCUCUCUCCGAAGCUUCAAUUGCUGAGAUCUUGGAGAGCUGGAACAGCUUAUGUUUGGUAACAGAAGUGAUCGUCAUAGGUGAUGAUGCUGACUUAUCGUCAUCUUAUUCGAAGUUCCAAUCGUAUGUCUCCCGUCUAUGCAAGCAUGGUCUUCGAUCUUUAGUGGAAGAACACUUCCUAAUAUCCCUCUAGAUGGAAGAGGAUGAGGUUGAAUUACUACUGUGUAAAGCUUUGGAAGAAAUAUCACUGGAGAAACAAUACCAAGAAAAGUAUUUAUUGAUGUUGGUCAAGUCUUUACAGCUAUGCCAAGAGAGCACAUCAAUGGAAGGACACUCCUCAGAUGUGAAAAAGUUCUUAUUUUCUAAAUAUCAGUUAAUUGUCUAUUCUGUUCUUAUGACCACUUUGCCACGACAAUUUCCAGAUUUAGCCAGAGGAUGAGGAUGCUAAGUUUAUAGAACCUUGGUGCACUCAUACUAAGUCUGAACAAAACUGAGGAACAUUGGAAUGGUUGUUCAUAAUCUCAGAAGUCUUGGAUUUACUUCCAUGGUUGAAGAUGCCUAUGCUUCUGCAAUAUUUUUGCUUUUGAAGGCGAAGAUGUAACGGUCCUGAUGAAGUUAUUUAUUCAUGGGCGUACACGGUAUCAACCUAAGGCGGCUUUUUUGGUCGAUUUCGUACAUAUCUUAAUAUCUUUGCAUGUUGUACAUUUAAUGCUCUUAAAGCAGCAGGUUGUUACAGUUUACAUCUUAUCUGUUCAUGUGGGAGAGGUUGUUACAGUCUACAUCUUAUCUAUUCAUGUGGUAUUGUUACAGUUUACAUAUUAUCUUCUUAUAUGAGAUAGAU